RNAcentral lists this ribosomal RNA (301 nucleotides) under uncultured bacterium. Its description in RNAcentral is "partial 16S ribosomal RNA". It matches the Rfam family "Bacterial small subunit ribosomal RNA", at positions 509 to 809 of the family's 1533-position model. The record is from RNAcentral.
CAGUCGCCGCGGUAAUACGAGGGGAGCUAGCGUUAUUCGGAAUUACUGGGCGUGAAGCGCACGUAGGCGGCUUUGUAAGUUAGACGUGAAAGUCCAGAGCUCAACUCUGGAAUUGCCUUUAAGACUGCAUGGCUUGAAUCCAGGAGAGGUGAGUGGAAUUCCGAGUGUAGAGGUGAAAUUCGUAGAUAUUCGGAAGAACACCAGUGGCGAAGGCGGCUCACUGGACUGGUAUUGACGCUGAGGUGCGAAAGCGUGGGGAGCAAACAGGAUUAGAUACCCCUGUAGUCCCUGUCUCUUAUAA